ACGUGAUUUUUGUGGAAUUCUUUCGGGAAUGGAAAUGAAAUGAAAGUGGCGAACGGGUGAGUAACACGUGAGCAACCUACCUUACACAGGGGGAUAGCCGUUGGAAACGACGAUUAAUACCGCAUGAGACCACAGAAUCGCAUGAUACAGGGGUCAAAGAUUUAUCGGUGUAAGAAGGGCUCGCGUCUGAUUAGCUAGUUGGAAGGGUAAAGGCCUACCAAGGCGACGAUCAGUAGCCGGUCUGAGAGGAUGAACGGCCACAUUGGAACUGAGACACGGUCCAAACUCCUACGGGAGGCAGCAGUGGGGAAUAUUGCACAAUGGGGGGAACCCUGAUGCAGCGACGCCGCGUGAGCGAAGAAGGUUUUCGAAUCGUAAAGCUCUGUCCUAUGAGAAGAUAAUGACGGUAUCAUAGGAGGAAGCCCCGGCUAAAUACGUGCCAGCAGCCGCGGUAAUACGUAUGGGGCGAGCGUUGUCCGGAAUUAUUGGGCGUAAAGGGUACGUAGGCGGCCUUUUAAGUCAGGUGUGAAAGCGUGAGGCUUAACCUCAUUAAGCACUUGAAACUGGAAGGCUUGAGUGAAGGAGAGGAAAGUGGAAUUCCUAGUGUAGCGGUGAAAUGCGUAGAUAUUAGGAGGAAUACCGGUGGCGAAGGCGACUUUCUGGACUUUUACUGACGCU
This 678-nucleotide ribosomal RNA is filed under the name uncultured Clostridium sp. Its description in RNAcentral is "bacterial SSU rRNA". It matches the Rfam family "Bacterial small subunit ribosomal RNA", at positions 66 to 747 of the family's 1533-position model. Lineage: Bacteria; Bacillati; Bacillota; Clostridia; Eubacteriales; Clostridiaceae. The record is from RNAcentral.